AUGUAAUAUUUUUACAUAAUUAAGUAAUUUUAUUAAUUGCAAUUUGAGGGACCUGCCUGCCAACCCAGGCCGAAAGUCCAGAGAAUUUAAUUUUUUACCCUGUUACUUUCUAUGACACCCUAAAACCUGUACAUGGGGGGUACCGUUUUACUCGGGAGACUUCGCUGAACACAAAUAUUAGUGAUUCAAAACAGUAAAACAUAUCACAGCGAUGAUAUUGUCAGCGAAAGUGACUUCUUUUGCAUUUUUCACACACAAACAGCACUUUUACUGAUGAUAUAAUUGUUGUGAUACGUUUUCCUGUUUUGAAACACUAAUAUUUGUGUUCAGCAAAGUCUCCCGAGUAUAACAGUACCCCCCAUGUACAGAUUUGAUAGCGUUUUUGAAUGUUACAGGGUCAAAUAUAUGGGUCAAAUAUUUUUACAUUGAAAAUGGCCAGGUUGGUUACGUUGCCUUUGAGAGCGUAUGGUAGCCCAGGAAUGAGAAUUACCCCCGUGAUGGCAUACCAUUUACAAAAGAAGACAACCCAAGGUAUUGCAAAUGGGUUAUGUCCAGUCUUUUUUAGUAGCCACUUAGUCACAAACACUGGCCAAAAUUAGCAUUCAAUUUAGUUUUUUACUUUUUUCACACACAAACAAAUAUGAACGCUGGCUAGUGUUUGCAACUAGGUGGCUACUAAAAAAAACUGGACAUACCCCAUAUUGAAUAUCCUGGGUGGUCUACUUUAAAAAAAUAUGUACAUGUGAAGUGUUAUUCAGAGAUCUAUGACAGAUAAUAGUGUUACAAUGUCACUAUUGAUAAAUUUGAAAAAAUUUAUGUUUUGAAACCGCAAUAUCCUACUUGUACCUAUAGCCCUAUAGCUUGCAAAAAAAAAAAAGCAUGUAAAUACUGG
Non-coding RNA from Pelobates cultripes (western spadefoot toad), 892 nucleotides. The record is from the annotation of a GenBank genome assembly. Lineage: Eukaryota; Metazoa; Chordata; Amphibia; Anura; Pelobatidae.